CCCUUAGAUGUUCUGGGCCGCACACGCGCUACACUGAAGGAGGCAGCGUGUACUCCUGGAUCGAAAGAUUUGGGUAACCCGCGAAUCUCCUUCGUGCUAGGGAUUGAGGUUUGCAAUUAUCCUUCAUGAACGAGGAAUUCCCAGUAAGUGCAAGUCAUAAGCUUGCGCUGACUACGUCCCUGCCCUUUGUACACACCGCCCGUCGCUACUACCGAUUGAAUGAUUUAGUGAGGACUUUGGACUGGGACCGAUGCGGCUUUCGGGCUGCGUCGGUAUUCUGGAAAGAUGUCCAAACUGUNUNAUUUAGNGGAAGUAAAANUCGUANCA
Molecule: ribosomal RNA, 327 nt
Filed under: uncultured eukaryote
Lineage: Eukaryota
Description: partial 18S ribosomal RNA
Rfam family: Eukaryotic small subunit ribosomal RNA
Source: RNAcentral